This is an RNA transcript of Planococcus citri (citrus mealybug), 9129 nucleotides long. RefSeq lists it as uncharacterized. The record is from RefSeq and is a predicted model, not a curated record. The transcript is spliced from 4 exons. NCBI's taxonomy places the organism in Eukaryota, Metazoa, Arthropoda, Insecta, Hemiptera, Pseudococcidae.
CGCAGCAGUACAUUAAUUUGAGUUAAUAUCUGCUCUAUACUUGAUUUUUCAAGUAGUAUGUACCUAUUACAAAAAAAAUGUACAUUCAGAAUUUCGUGACAAAAGACAUCCAAGACUGAAAAUAUGUAGCUAAUAAUAACACUAUUUUUCAAUGAAAAAUCCUGGUUGAAAAAUUGAUGAUGUAUUUUCCAUUUUAAAUUACGUAAAUGAAACGAAGACGCAUAAAAACAUUUUUGCUGUUAGUAUUGACGUAUUUUUCCACAUUAAUACCAAAUGGGAACGCCAAAUUUGGAGACUAUUUAAAAAACUCACUCAACAAAACCAAUCACAUCGUCAAUUUGAACAUAACCGAUACCUCACAACAAAAUGACCAUUUUGACACAAACCUCCAAUACCAAAAACCAUCUCCAACUCCACGUCGAGAAAAUUUCGAAGUUCGAGAAGUUCGUAUUUACGCCACCAAUCCAAGCCCCAUGUACCAAAAUCGAGAAAGAAAAAUGCUCGAAUCGCUUUUCCCAGACAACGCUUUACAACCAGGACAAGAUUUCGAUUUACGAAAACAAAUCUACGGUCCGGAUUUAAAACAAGAACUGGAUUCGUUGCUCGAACACACCUCUCCUAGCUGGGAUCAGUUACAAGCUCUUUUGAGAAAAGCCAAUCGAGUAACUAGAUUACCGCAAUCGAUGUAUGACGACUACGUAGAAGGGGUCAGAAAAUCACCGGACACUGAGUUUAAAAAUCUUCAUGGCGAUUCUGAUAAAUUCAAUGCUGGAAAAAACUCCUCCAAAAAAGAAGAUUUGAGCGUAGGGACCAUGUUCAAGCGAUAUUUGCAAACUUCCAUGGAUCUGAGUAUGGAUUUUGGUAGAGGACGUCAAAUAUAUCCGUUUGCAGGUGAUUUUAGUUUAUCCGAUGCAGUGAUAAGAAAUAAACGAGAAAUACGAGUACACCGUGAUAGUAAUUUUUCAAGAUUUAUGCCCGAUGGAAGAACUAUAAAUUCUCAAUUAUUUGGGCCAACUCGACUACCAUAUUUUAGGAAACCACCUCCUCCUAGCCAGUUUUUUAGAACCAGUCAAUUCGCGUACAAUUCCUUUAGACCUGAGUACUAUUCGAGAAAAGAAAAUAAUUGUCCACGAUUUCCAUCAGACCGAAAAGCUGUAGGUCUAAAUCAUCAAUCAAUCCUACAAUCUCAACAACCAUAUUUUAGGAGUGCAAUUCCCACAAGCCAGUUUCCAAGAACGAUUAAAUUCACACCAUACAACUCCUUCAGACCUAUAAAUUCCUAUUCAGGGAAAGUAAACGAAGCAAGAUUUUAUACCAGAAGUUCAUUCCAGCAAAAUUUCAAGAAUAAUAAUCCUAACCAAAUAUAUUUCAAAACAACGUCGAAAAUUACCAAAUCAACACCACAUGGAACUUUCGAUGCUACGUGGAGAGAAUUGGUGCAACAAAUAAACCCAAUUCAGCAGAAAAUAAUACAAGAUUUAUUUUUACAUGGGCCCCCGACAACAUCCGAUCAUAAUUCACAAACAUCUCUAUCAAAUUUGAAAAUGAAUGGGAAACAAAUCAACAACUCGUUGAUUUCUAUUUCAUCACAACCAUCUCAAAAUACGAGUACUUCUUUCUCGACAUCGAAAUUCCGUAUUCGAGAAGUCGAUAGAAGAUCCACGACAAGAAUUCAAUCCACGUUGAAAAAGAUAUUCACUUAUGGCCAAGUAUGGAUAACAAAGAGUACCAGCCCUAAUUACAUCUCGCCAAAAUUACGCACCACUGCAACUGUAACGAUAGAUAGCAAUUUGAUGAAAGAAUGGCUAAAAAGUUUAAAUCCUCAAGAUCGCGAGGAAAUGGAAAAUUUAUUUUUCAAUGCUCAAUCAUCUCCGCCAUACGAUAUACGCGACGCUGAAAGCAUUAAGAACGCCAUAAAGAAUGAAUUUUUACAACGAACUGGGAAAUCAUUCGGUGCAGGAUUUUCUCCUAAUAAUCUGAAAUCGACGUUUAUUUCAAGAAAUGAUAACAAAAGAAGGCUAGCAGAGGAUACAGGUGUGCGUUAUUAUGACUAUGAAGAUUUAUCAAGACUUCUAAGGCAAGCACCUCAAGAUAAGUUGAAAAUAGUUGAUGAUUGGUGCGAAGAAAUAGAAAGGGAUUUACAUAGAAGAUUUCCUACUGCGAUAACAAAAUAUGGGGAUACCAGAAAUCCGGGUCCAUUUCCCACGACCAGAUAUUAUCCGUGGGAAUUAUUCUCGAUGCUUCCGUAUCGAAACUGAACGAAUUAAAUAAGCAGAAUCGUGAAUUAAAUCAAGCGAAGGCGAAGGAUACUUUAAUUAUUUCUGUAAGUGGGUAUUUUCAUCGAGAAAAAUCACAUUUGAGACUUGAGUUACCUAUAAGAAUUGUUUCAAGGGGAGAGGGUUACGCUUCGAGCUUAUUUAGUUUUUUCUAAAGGCUCACUAUUCAAAAAUAGCGUAGGUACCUACAUUAUAAUUUGGUUUUGUAGUUUGAGAUGCAUUUUGGAUACCUUUUACAUUUAUUCUUUGAAUACCUACUUACCUAUCUAAUAUUCAGCUAUGAUCAAUUUUUUUUUUUUUAAUUGGAAAAUAUACCUAACAUUUUUUUUCAUUUCUAUACCACCUAUCUCUUUUCUAUUUUGCAAUCUUUUAAACAAGAAACAGCUUUGAAAAAAUGUUCAGACUUUCGAUUGAGGAGUAGCAGGGCUCAAAGUUGAAAAACAUUUCCGAAGAAUUCAAUAAAAAUUGAUCAGAUAUCUACUCAGAGGCGGACUUGAGGGGAGGGGGGUUACAGAUCACACCCCUCCCAAUAUUAGAGAAUUCGGAAUUUUCCGGCAAAAUCGUUAAUUUGCCUACACGAUUAUUCAUCUAUCAUAACAAAUUUUCAUUUUUUUCAAAAUAUUUUUGCCAUUCUCAAAUUAUUUAUAAAAUUGUGCCUGGAAAAUAUUUUUGUUCCAACUACUAAAAUUGUCAGUGGUGGAAAAACUGACUUAUCACAUCAAAAUUACUGAUGUUCUGCUCCUUGAAACUAUACCUAAUUACAAAUUUUGAAAAGUUUUUGCCUUCGCUUCGGCCAAUUCGGUUCUCUUCCUUGUUCUUAAAAUUUCAAAAACCCAUUGAUAAAAUUUUUGAACUUAAGUAUUUAGUUUUUUUCUAAAUGCUCACUAUUCGAAAAUAGCGUAGGUACCUACAUUAUAAUUUGGUUUUGUAGUUUGAAAUACAUUUUGGAUACCUUUUACAUUUACUCUUUGAAUACCUACCUAUCUAAUCUUCAGCUAUGAUUUUUUUUUUUUUUAAUUGGAAAAUAUAACAUUUUUUUUUCAUUUCUAUACCUAAGUAGCUAUUUUAUAUUUUUUCCUAAUAAAAGAAUGAUACGAAACAUAAGAACAGAUGAAAUUAACAACCCAUCAGCUAUUAGCAGAUUUGCAAAAGAGUUUUUGCUUUUUGUUUUUUAAUUUUUUCUUCUUCGUGGAAUUUCAUUUGAUUACUUACAGACAGCCAAAAACAAGAAAUUCAUCACAGAGUAAUGAAUUUGCAAAAAAUCUGAAAGGAAGCUGAAUAAAUAAACCCUUUUUUUUGGCUAGCUUUCAGCUUUACUUCUAUAGUUUUAUCUUUUCAUUUUUAAAUCAUACAGCUUUGGCUUUGGCUAGCUUUUAACUUUGAAAACACCCAAACUUCCUCGGCUUUCAGAUUUUAUUUCAGCUUUCAGCUUGAGCUAGUUUUCCAUAAAUAAAAUAAAUAUUAAAUAAUAAAAACAUAAUCAAUUAUUAAUCUAAUUCCAAAUUAUAAAAAAUAAAAAUCUCUCAUCUGGCAAUGUUAAACACUAAUCACAGAUAGGUCCCUCCAAAAUACUGCUCACUGAUUUGCUCCAAAUUGAAAAAAACUCAUGAUUAAAAUCAAUUGCAAUAGGGUUUCUAGCUGCUAGCAGCAAAAAACCCUAAAAAAGACGUGAGCGAGUGUUGUUUUUUUUAUUCGGGGGGGGGGGGGAAUUAAGAAAAUACGACUGGGUUGUCCUGUCAAAUGACUUUUCUGGAGUCUGAAUUGUGCAGUAGUGUAAAUUUUCAUGUGAAUAGAAAUGAAAACUUCGCAGAAUUCUACAAGAACCCGAACAAAAUCAUCCGGUUUCUGGAAAAAAGAAAAGAUGUAGGAUUCAAGAUACCAUAGCCUACUAAAAAGAUGAACAAUCCAGUAUAGUUAGUUAUGAAGAUGACUCGAAUCGUGUAUUUCCUUCAGUUUCAAUAUUAGGAAAUGACGUCCACUGUGUUUUUAAAGGAAAAAAACAAAGGUGAUGUCCAUUUUGUAUUGUAGUAUCGCAAAGUUCAUGUAAAACAAGAUCUUAAUUCUUAUACUUUCAAUAGAUGAUGAACGAAUUAUGCCGAUUGUUGCAAUUGUUGGGCCCCGUGAUAAUAUUCUUGAUAACUUAUUGAUGGAAUAAAAAUAUUUGAUUUUUAUUUUAAGUAGGUAUUCUUUCUCACUUUCAAUUCCGAAAAAAUGUAUGAUAAAAAUAGGAAUCAAUAUACCUACAAUCAUUUAAAAAUAUCAACUUUUCUACUGGCAUAUGUUCCGUGAACGAUGUGAGUAUACAAAACCGUUCCUCUUCUGUUCUCGCUUCUCUCAGAUCAUUCAAGAUAUUGCUUUCAAAAAUUCACAAAAAAAAAUCCAGAAUGAGUCAAAAAGCGUAUUAUAAAAUGAAACAAGCUACAUAUCAUCUAUUUCCCUGAUUGCAAGAUAGUUUUUGCAUUUGCUUUCACUGCGUAUAUUGAUUGAUUGAUGGUUGCAUUAGUUGGUACCAUAAGUUUGCUUUUAAAUAUCAACUUUGAAGCAUGAAGCUGAUUUUUCAUGUCUUUGCCUUUUAUUUUUUAUAUAAUUUAUAAAGUAGAAUGUACCUACUACCUACACCUAGACUGAUUGCUUUUAUCAAAAUGAAGUCAAAUAAACUUGUAAAUUAUAACAUUCAUGAUUCAACUAAAUACGAAUAAAAUCAUUCGUACACGAAUAAAAAAAUAUUUACGUAUUGAAAAUUAAAUUCCAAAUCAGUCCCAAAUUUGGUUUUGAUAAACAGUAAUUGCUGAUUGCCUUUUUAUGUCGAAAUACUGUUUGUUGGCUGUCUAUAAACUGAAGAUUCAUAAAUUUAUUGCCAUAAAAAAUUGCGUAGAAAUUUCUGAAGGAUACAGUGAAUUGGGUUUAUUGAAAAAACAUAGGUUUUUCGCGCAUCGCGCUAAAACUAUAAAAAUGCAAAUUUUUCAUUUUUUAAAAACAGAAUCACUGGCUUCCUGAAAUUUUUUGAUACCUUAAAAGAAGGUUAGGUCCAGAAGGGUCUGUGAUGAAAUAAAAUCAUACUUUCUUAGGUACUUCUCAAAACACAUAAAAGCUUUACCCCUCGCUUUGUUCGGACUUAUUUCCUUUUCUUUUUCAAAGUUGAAAUUUCUAAAAAAAAUGUAUCAUUCAAUUUUCAAAGUUUUGAAGUGAAAAAAUAAACUUCUCGCAUAAAAAGAUACCAAUCGUUUUUAGUUCUCUCAAAUCUCAAAAUAUUAUACAAAUUUUCAAAAGUUUUCGCUCUCGCGGUCCUGAUCUUUCUUCUACAAAAUGAACUUCCUGAAUAAAAACAUCGUUUUUAGGCCUCUCGAAAUCGAAUUUUUAAAAACUUUCACCCUUGCUUUGCUCGGGCCAGUCUGUUUCUUGUUUUGAAAUACAGAAAAAAAUACAUUUGGGCCCCCACAAAUUCAAAACAGAAAAUUAAAAUUUCUACAAGUCACACCUAUGAAUGUGAUAUCAAUCGGCAAAAUUGGAAUUUUUCCCCAUAUCAGUCGGGAAAUUUUCAGUCAAAUUCCUUCCCCUUCCCCCCCAAUCCCUCUCAAUGGAGCCAAAUUAUAAUUGCCCUGGGCCCGCAUUGGCUCUUGACGGUCCUAACCACAGGGCUCAACAUGUUGAAAUUGUUAUUAUUGUCGGGGAAAAUUCCAUUUUUUUUUGCCGACAAAAUGACUGGAUCCCCCUCCCCCUCAUUUCCAACCACGUAGCAUGACUUCGAUCCGCCUCUUUAUCUACUUAUUUAAUUGUUUUCUUGUGGCCCCUUUAGACUUGAAAACAAACUCUUUUUUUCUUAGCUUUUUUAGUUUUUUUACCUACAUAACAGACGAUUAAAAUUUCCGGUACUUUGCUUGAAACUUUCAAAAAUGUCGAAUGCUAUGAAAUGUUGAUGUACCUUUAAAUCAACACCUGAAUAAAGUCUUUUUGGCAUGAAAACGCCUUUGAAUAAUUUUUAAAAAGAUGCGUGUAAAAGUUAAGGGAUUAAAAUUUUGCAAUUUUGUAAACAAAAAAUAGGUAAAAAUAAAAAAAAUAAACAUUCGAAAAAACUAGCGCACGGAAUGAAUCCUCAGUUUUAAUAAUGAAUAUAUAGGUACGUUAAAUAUUAAGUAAGUACACCUGACCACAUUUCUUCAUUUUGACCCAUCGUAUGAGAAUAAAAUAUUUGUUCAACAUUCCUUUGUAAAUUAUGAAGUUGAAUAGUAUAUACCAAAAUAAAAAGUUUCAAAAAAUAUAUCAUUCUUAUCUCUCGUAAUCAAGUAUAGCGUACAGCCAGUCGAUGAUUGAUUUUGUAAUGAUAAAUUACAUCCAUCAACGCACUGAAAGAGAAGCACUUGAAUUGAAGAGUAUGAUAAUAUUUCAUCGUAAAUCUUUCUCUCAUGCACUCGGUAUGAUCUUAGAAGCACACUUGUGGACUCGAAAUGAAAAUAACAAUAAUCGUUUUGCUCACACUGAUUUCAUGUUGCAUUCGUACUACAAAAGCUGCACCUCGUCAAAAAACCGAGAUCCAAAGAAAAAUUCUCGACGGUUUGGUAAGACUCAUCACAAAACGAUCCUUUCCUCCUCUACUUCAAGAGAUAAAACGAUAUUUCAAGGCACAAGACGCUCUACGAAAACUGAUAACUGACGCUGUUAUAUGGAAAUCGGACCAAAUCGAACGUGUUUUGAAAAUCGUAAGAGAUAAAGUUGACGCAGUCGAAUCAAUUUUAUGGCUAUUGUUUAAGACUAAGAGUAAACCAAAAGGGCGUCCGGAUUGGGAAUGGUUGGAUUCGAAUUACGAGUGGACUACUAGACGAGGUGGUCGUCCAGGGACGAGAAAUCCCAACAAUGCGAUGAGAAACCGAGACUACAACAACAAUAACAAUAAUGAUAAUAAUGGCGAUUACAAUGACGAUGACGAUGACGAUGACGAUGAUGACGAUGAUGAUGAUAGAGGUGGUGAAGAUGAUGGAGAUGAUAGAGAUGGUGGUGAUGAUGGAGAUGAUGGCGACGAUGGGGACGAUGGAGGUGGUAAUGAUGGUUUUUAAUCUUCAUUUUCAGACAUCAGAAAAUCAUAAAUCGAAGUUCAAAAUAUUAGGUACAUAUUUGUACGCAGCCUUAGCCAUAAAAUUUGAAUAUUUCAACAUUUGAAAAAAUUUGUUUUACUGAGUAGGCCUUCAAAUUUGAUAUUACCAACAUAAAUCGAAACAGUAUUCAAAAUACUUGAAUUACUUGUCAAGUAGUACCUAUUAAUUAAGUACCUAUCCAUUUAUUUUUUUUCAAUAUACAUAUUUUUGAUAAGAAUCGUUGCAAAAAUGAAUGCUUGAAAAAAAUACACCACAACACAGCUAAAAUAACAACUCGAUCGAGUGCUCCAGGCCACGUGACAUACGUAAAAACAUAAUUUGAAUAACUGUGCACUUGAUAAUGAUAUGUAUAACUCGAUAUCAUAGAUCGAAAUACUCAUUCAGCGAUAGCCAACCUUAUCAGUUAUCAUCAUGAUUAUGAAAUGAAAAAUCAAACAUCGUUGUUGUAAUUUUAAAACCAAGCAGAUGAAAGAGCUUAUCAAAUUGAUGUUGAUUUUAGGUAGCAAUUUCCUCAAAAAUAUUGAAUUGAAAUAUGAUGUCUGAUUUUGAUCAUUUCUUCACAACUUUGUAAAUGAACAAAUUUUUUAUCAUUUCGUUUUAUUUUAUAUCUUGUUAUACUAAUGUAAUAACUUAAUUGGAAAUUCGUUUGGAAUAACUUUGAACAAAAUGUGAUUGCCCAAAAUAUUCCAACGAAUCAGUGGAGUCUAUGAAUUUAUUUGUCAAACUGCCAUCAUGAGGAUCGUAUACGUUUUACUGUUACUGGUAUCCCACAUCUAUAAUAACCCAACGAUCGCCGGACGUGUAGGUCUGAUCGAAUCCGAUGAUUCAGUUGUUUACAUGGAAUCAAUGCCCAAAGCACCACGUACCGAUCAAUCACUAGAACGAUACGGAGACUACGGAGAGUAUUACGAUCCAGGAUCAUCUGAAUCAGAUAAAGUAAACGAGACCGACUUGGAGUACUACAUGAAACAGCUCGCGCUUCUAGGCCCCAGUACCAAAGCUUACGGAGGACCAAAUGUCAAACACAGAUUCAGUUUCACCUUCUUUACAAUCGUCACCGAAAAACAAACACACUGCACGAGGAAAAAACCACGAAGUCGUUCGCCUUCAACUCACGUUUAUUUAUACACCCAACGUAAAACCAAGUACCCCAGAACAUCGCCUAAUCCGAAUAAAAAAACAAGACUGACUACGAGACAAUUGCAAUUUUCCACCGCUGCUGUGAGAAGAAAAAGAUUAAUCGAGGAAGAUGGUGUUUGUAAAAUUGGAGAAAAUUAUGUUUGCGAUGGUACUUUGUCCACAGAGUUUAUGCAUUUCUCAACAACACCUGUAGUAAGAAAGAAAAGAUGGGUUGGAGAUAGUCCUGAGCGAAUGGAUCGGUACACGACGUUUGAUAGUCUGGAUAGAGAACUGCUCUACUCAGGGAGAUACGCACCUUGGCAAAUUAAAUUUUACGCGAUGCGAAAAUAUUUCGAUAAAAAUAUGACUCCGCCGUUCGUAACAAAGAAGCGUAUCGUUGGUAAACAAAAACUCAAAAAAUUACUGCGCAAGAAAAGCAUACACGAGCCCGGUUACAAGCAAAAACUACGCAUGAUGUCUUUCGAUCAAAUUUACAAUGAUAGUAGACUCUUUCCUUGGAAUGCAACCGUUCGACAAAUUUAUAAAGAAAAAAGAUGGAAACAUUUGACCCAAAAGUUGCCCGUACUGUGAGAUUAAUCGACAUUUUUUUGAUAACAAAUAUAAAGUUUAUUAUAUCUAAGAAA